GAUGAACGCUGGCGGCGUGCUUAACACAUGCAAGUCGAACGAAGCACUGUAUUUGAUUUCCUUCGGGACUGAUUAUUUUGUGACUGAGUGGCGGACGGGUGAGUAACGCGUGGGUAACCUGCCUUGUACAGGGGGAUAACAGUUGGAAACGGCUGCUAAUACCGCAUAAGCGCACGGCAUCGCAUGAUGCAGUGUGAAAAACUCCGGUGGUAUAAGAUGGACCCGCGUUGGAUUAGCUAGUUGGUGAGGUAACGGCCCACCAAGGCGACGAUCCAUAGCCGACCUGAGAGGGUGACCGGCCACAUUGGGACUGAGACACGGCCCCAACUCCUACGGGAGGCGGCAGUGGGGAAUAUUGCACAAUGGGCGAAAGCCUGAUGCAGCGCCGCCGCGUGAGCGAAGAAGUAUUUCGGUAUGUAAAGCUCUAUCAGCAGGGAAGAUAAUGACGGUACCUGACUAAGAAGCACCGGCUAAAUACGUG
Molecule: ribosomal RNA, 481 nt
Filed under: uncultured bacterium
Lineage: Bacteria
Description: partial 16S ribosomal RNA
Rfam family: Bacterial small subunit ribosomal RNA
Source: RNAcentral